Molecule: ribosomal RNA, 538 nt
Filed under: uncultured bacterium
Lineage: Bacteria
Description: bacterial SSU rRNA
Rfam family: Bacterial small subunit ribosomal RNA
Source: RNAcentral
ACGCAAUAGAUACCCGGGUAGUCCACGCCCUAAACGAUGUCUACUAGUUGUCGGGUCUUAAUUGACUUGGUAAACGCAGCUAAACGCGUGAAGUAGACCGCCUGGGGAGUACGGUCGCAAGAUUAAAACUCAAAGGAAUUGACGGGGACCCGCACAAGCGGUGGAUGAUGUGGAUUAAUUCGAUGCAACGCGAAAAACCUUACCUACCCUUGACAUGGAUGGAAUCCCUGAGAGAUUGGGGAGUGCUCGAAAGAGAACCAUUACACAGGUGCUGCAUGGCUGUCGUCAGCUCGUGUCGUGAGAUGUUGGGUUAAGUCCCGCAACGAGCGCAACCCUUGUCAUUAGUUGCUACGAAAGGGCACUCUAAUGAGACUGCCGGUGACAAACCGGAGGAAGGUGGGGAUGACGUCAAGUCCUCAUGGCCCUUAUGGGUAGGGCUUCACACGUCAUACAAUGGUACAUACAGAGGGCCGCCAACCCGCGAGGGGUAGCUAAUCCCAGAAAGUGUAUCGUAGUCCGGAUUGUAGUCUGCAACUCG